Olea europaea var. sylvestris is the source of this 460-nucleotide long non-coding RNA. RefSeq lists it as uncharacterized. The transcript has 2 exons. Lineage: Eukaryota; Viridiplantae; Streptophyta; Magnoliopsida; Lamiales; Oleaceae. The record is from RefSeq and is a predicted model, not a curated record.
GAUGGUAAAUUUCUUCAUCUCCAGCCUAAAAUUCCUACUCCAUUUUUUUCAUUCACAACUUUUUUAUACUUUGUGCAUUCACAGCAAUAAGCAUCAGCACUUCAAUUUCUUCUUCAUAUAACUGGUAGGUAUUAGACAUGGCUGCACUCUACAAGCUUAUCCCAUAGAUUUCAACUUUAGAAAGCAACUGGUAUGUAAAAGUUAUUGUUGCAAGAAAGCAAGCGUCUCGAACUGCUCGCAAUUCUACUGGAUGGUACCAAAACCUUCUUCUAAUGGAUUUAGAGGCAUUACACUUUCAACUAAAACGAACAGCAAUGUGUUCAUUGAUGCUGGAAUCAUAGCAGUAACAAACUACAAAGAAUGGUUCUAAAACAAUGCCAAAAAACUUGCUUACUUUUCCCACCUACAUAAAAGAAAUUGUUCCAAAACUAAGUUGUAUAAUUACUUCUCUUUUUUUUCC